CCUACGGGAGGCAGCAGUGGGGAAUAUUGGACAAUGGGGGGAACCCUGAUCCAGCCAUGCCGCGUGUGUGAAGAAGGCCCUCGGGUUGUAAAGCACUUUCAGUGAGGAAGAACGCCUGGUGGUUAAUACCCAUCAGGAAAGACAUCACUCACAGAAGAAGCACCGGCUAACUCCGUGCCAGCAGCCGCGGUAAUACGGAGGGUGCGAGCGUUAAUCGGAAUUACUGGGCGUAAAGCGCGCGUAGGUGGCUUGAUAAGCCGGUUGUGAAAGCCCCGGGCUCAACCUGGGAACGGCAUCCGGAACUGUCAAGCUAGAGUGCAGGGGAGGAAGGUAGAAUUCCCGGGGUAGCGGUGAAAUGCGUAGAGAUCGGGAGGAAUACCAGUGGCGAAGGCGGCCUUCUGGACUGACACUGACACUGAGGUGCGAAAGCGUGGGUAGCAAACAGGAUUAGAUACCCCUGUAGUC
RNAcentral lists this ribosomal RNA (465 nucleotides) under Vreelandella stevensii. RNAcentral's name for it is "partial 16S ribosomal RNA". It matches the Rfam family "Bacterial small subunit ribosomal RNA", at positions 338 to 795 of the family's 1533-position model. The record is from RNAcentral. Lineage: Bacteria; Pseudomonadati; Pseudomonadota; Gammaproteobacteria; Oceanospirillales; Halomonadaceae.